GACGAACGCUGGCGGCGUGCUUAACACAUGCAAGUCGAACGGAAAGGCCCCUUUGGGGGUCCUCGAGUGGCGAACGGGUGCGUAACACGUAAGUAACCUUCCCUUGACUUCGGGAUAACUUCAGGUAACUGGGGCUAAUACCGGAUAGGAAUCCUUGCUGCAUGGUGGGGGUUGGAAAGCUUCGGCGGUUUUGGAUGGACUCGCGGCUUAUCAGCUUGUUGGUGGGGUAGUGGCUUACCAAGGCUUUGACGGGUAGCCGGCCUGAGAGGGCGACCGGCCACAUUGGGACUGAGAUACGGCCCAGACUCCUACGGGAGGCAGCAGUGGGGAAUAUUGCACAAUGGGCGGAAGCCUGAUGCAGCACGGCCGCGUGCGGGAUGACGGCCUUCGGGUUGGAAACCGAUUUCAGCAGGGGCGAAGCUUGUGGUGACGGUACCUGCAGAAGAAGCACCGGCUAACUACGUG
Molecule: ribosomal RNA, 465 nt
Filed under: uncultured bacterium
Lineage: Bacteria
Description: partial 16S ribosomal RNA
Rfam family: Bacterial small subunit ribosomal RNA
Source: RNAcentral